UCCCUGGUGGUCUAGUAGUUAAUGAUCAUGCGCUCUUACCGCCGUGGCCUGGGUUCGAUCCCUGGGCAGGGAA
RNAcentral lists this transfer RNA (73 nucleotides) under Pangasianodon hypophthalmus (striped catfish). Its description in RNAcentral is "tRNA-Lys". The record is from RNAcentral. Lineage: Eukaryota; Metazoa; Chordata; Actinopteri; Siluriformes; Pangasiidae.